AUUUAUCUACACUCCCGGAUUUUGUUUUAAAUAAACGUUUUUAGCUGUCUUUAAUUAUUCGUUCUUGUUUUUGUAAAACACGUCGCCAUUACUAAAUAUAAUUAGUUAUUUGAAGUAAUCAGACGAAAUAUUGCAUGCAGUGAUAAUGUUUAGUAGAGAUUGCUUAAUGUGUUAAGUUUCUCUAAGGGGGAGGAGCCCCAUUCGAACAGGUCUGCGUGAGCGCGCGAUGUUUGAAGAGACCUGAGACCGGUUGAUGAUGCACGCGAUGGAUUUGGAAAACAUCAUGAAACGGUGAGUGUGUAAAUUAGCUUCUUUCUCUUGAUCUUUCUGGGAAAAUUGAUCAUCCAAAAGACCGGUCCGAUGACAGCGUUACUGUAGUUAAAGCUAAAGUAGUCUUAUAGGCCUAACUUGCUGAUCGACGGUUUUUCCCCUGUCGGUUCACCGAAGCUAUAACGUAAUGUUAAUAUUAAAAUCCGUGUUUCUUUUGGUUCACGGUUAAGAGAAGUUCAGCAAGUGUGUUUCUGCAUGUUCAGUUUAGCUGUGAUGUUAGUAUUUCAUUACCCUUAGCUUCAGUUGUUUAAAUCAGCACGUGUGCAUGAAUUAGCUUUUUGUUAACGCUAGUUUGUCUCUUAGAUAUAUAUUCGUAAAUAAUAACUGCAACUGAGUUGUUAAGCUUAAAGUGAUGUGUAUAUGCUAAACAUUUAUGCUAAAAGUUACAGUUAGUCUUGAAAUGUAACACUUUUUUUUCUCUGUUUUAGGUGUUCAUGGAGUUGUACAGGAUUGUGGGCAAGAAUCUCAAGCAAUCAUCUAACUGAGAUAUUUCAGUCUAAAGAGGGAAUGCUGGGCAGCUGUUGACAGCUUUCACAACAAAUCAAGCAGACUAAAGAGCCAACUGAUACUAGGUUUCUGGUGCUCAGAGGGCUCCCUUUUGCCCUUUGUGACAACCCUACAGAUUUCUACAAAGUAUGCUUUGACUCUGAUGACGAUUACUCAUUCCACCACCUGGACAUUGGAAUCAUCCUCACUGAGUAUGAAGGUGAUGUGCUCUCAUCCUCUCUCCGUCUCAAUCCAGCCUCAUUGAAGAUCAUCAUUGAAGGAGAUUUUGUGAUGGACAGUAUUGAAGACUUGUCAAAAGCUAUGUGCAUUCUGUAUGGACUUACACACUGCAUCUCAACUAUCCUAAAUCUAUGAAGAACACCUUCCAGAUCAUCCAACAGGUACUUCUCAUGUUGGGCCACAGUGAACUAAAACCCAGGUUGCAAACUCUGAAAAAUUGUCCUACAAUGUUAGGAAAUGCAAGAAGCUUCAAUGAGAAGUCACUUGUGUUCUGCCGUACGAGACAUUAAAGUGUAUUCUGUCUCUGCAUAUCAGUGCUGUUAGUGCUCAGUUAAUGUGUGUUCACACAAUUCUUCAGCCAAGUUUAAAGUUACAGAGACUUGCCUCUGUUUCAAUUUAAGCCCAGUUGUUAAUGCACAUCCAGGCAUUCACAAGGGAUAUAGCAUAUAUUCUUGAAUACUGUGUUCAUGUUUCUUCUACAAAAUAGUUACAAUUGUUAACAAGCUGCUCCAAAGCUUAUUUUUCU
Long non-coding RNA from Onychostoma macrolepis, 1582 nucleotides. RefSeq lists it as uncharacterized. The record is from RefSeq and is a predicted model, not a curated record. The transcript is spliced from 3 exons. NCBI's taxonomy places the organism in Eukaryota, Metazoa, Chordata, Actinopteri, Cypriniformes, Cyprinidae.